Molecule: long non-coding RNA, 1654 nt
Organism: Girardinichthys multiradiatus
Lineage: Eukaryota; Metazoa; Chordata; Actinopteri; Cyprinodontiformes; Goodeidae
Exons: 4
Source: RefSeq, a predicted model, not a curated record
GGCGUGGUUUCUGGCCCACAGUUGGCACCGGUCCAUUUUAAGGAUCGGAAGAAUAUGUCACAUGAUGUGAGAAUUAUCUGGAGAGAUCGAAAGAGUAGUCACAUUUAGACUUCUAGGUCCGAGUGUUUCGUGGUUUCGUUUAGGACGACAAAAACAAGGAACUCAAAACUUUUUAAAUUAAAAAAGGAAAAGCAUUAUGAUCCCCGCGAUCCAAACAUUAAUAUAGUGGAUGCAGAAGAUGAAUUUGACUUUCUGUGUGAAGGUUUUAAGUCUCCAAGGGCUCAGAUGUCCUGCGGUCAUGUUGUGACCCCGACGUCUCUCACUAAAUGGUGCAAACAUUUGUUGGAAGAGGGUCAAAGCAGAUUUUUUUGUGGCCAGAGUGACUGUGAUGCUGUAUGGUCAUAUACGGAGGUCCGUGAAAUGGCUCUUCUAACUGCUAAAGAAAAGAAGUACUUUGAAAAAAACUUGGCUCUCAAUGCUGCCAGGAACUACUUUUUCACCAAACCAGAUUUACCACAUAACAGUGUCCUGGAUGCAAAUACUCCGUGACUAGGAAGGAUUCAUCCAAUCUGAGUGUCCACUGCCGGAUUUGCACAGCAAAGAAAGGUUACGUCUAUGAAUUCUGCUGGCAGUGUUUGAGAGAGUGGAGGGGCCCACAGCCACGCUCCGACCACUGUGGAAAUGAGGACUGCAAUAACAACUCACUGAAUACACUUAGAAAAGGCCCAAAUGUAAGCUUUGAGUAUGUGAAAGUUAUUUGGUGUCCCGCCAUCCGGGCCUGCCCUACUUGUGGGGUACUGGUGGAGCACACUGGAAUACAAUGUAAAAAUGUCACGUGUUACAGAUGUAAGGUGGAGUUCUGCUUUGUGUGCCUAAAGAUCACCGCUGAUUGUAAGAAAUCACCUAAUUAUGAUUAUUAUGGACCAUGCUCCAUUGGUAUUGCCCCAAGACAGACCUCUAUACCUGUGUGGCAGGUGGAAUUCCAGUGAAAUGUAUCCGGUGAUAUGAUUUUGUUUAUUGAAAUAUAUUUUCUUCAGUUAAAUGCUUUCCUAACGUUACUUAUCAGACUUAUCUAAAACAUUCUGAAACAAAUUUUUUAUAAAAACAUAGAAUCUGUUGUGCUUUUCUGUUAGAAAGUUACUUUGAAAUAAAUCUCAGAUGAUAAUUUCAUGAUAAUAUGACCUACAGUUUGACGUGUAACAUGUAGUGUAUGUAUUUGCAUUUCCUCACUAUUAUAGUACACGCACUGUCUCUGUGUUAUAAGAUGGUUUUAAAAUUGUAAAUACUUCAGUCCUGUAAUUCCAGUAACUUGUUACACAAGUGUGUUUAGUCCUUAUUCUUUAGCCUUACAGGUAUUUUAAAGAUUAGCAUUCAAUUUUAAUAAUUUGUGUUAUUUUAAUGUAAACAAAUGCAGUAAAAAUAUAUUCUAUAAGAUCUUUGCACUGAUUGGUGGGAAAGUAUAUUUUUUAAAUAAAUGCUGCUUUCAGUGGAUCUUUUAUAAGGAGGGGUAGACAAGCUUUCCAACAAAAAACUAGUCCCAUAAAGAUCUUGCUUCCUAAUCCAAGCUGCUUGGUUGAAGUUAACUUUUUAAUCAUGUGAUGUUGUUAAUGUGUGGCAAUUGGGCCUGAUUGUAUUGUAAAGUACCUUGAUAUAU